ACUCAACUGACGAGUCCCAAAGAGAACGAAAUACGCAUCCUGGAU
RNAcentral lists this non-coding RNA (45 nucleotides) under Schistosoma margrebowiei. The record is from RNAcentral. Lineage: Eukaryota; Metazoa; Platyhelminthes; Trematoda; Strigeidida; Schistosomatidae.